This is a long non-coding RNA of Zingiber officinale, 787 nucleotides long. RefSeq lists it as uncharacterized. NCBI's taxonomy places the organism in Eukaryota, Viridiplantae, Streptophyta, Magnoliopsida, Zingiberales, Zingiberaceae. The transcript is spliced from 3 exons. The record is from RefSeq and is a predicted model, not a curated record.
CCUAAUCGCUGUUUCCUCUUCAUUUUUCCCGACCCGCGCCCCCCGGUGCCGUUUCUCCUUUUCUUCCCCAAACCACCGCCGCUGCCGUCGCCGUGUCAAUUCCUCUCCUUCCCUCGUGUACAAAACGGUCGACCAAGGAAGCCGAGCCUUCUCUUCCUCUCUAUGCGUCGACACCCCGAGUUUCCCUUUCUCUCCUCCUCCGACGAGCCACCGCCGGUCCAUGCCCUAGCCAGCCCCGACGCCACUGCCGCUCUCCCUUCUUCCCUCUGCGCCACGUCUGACCACCGGAUCAAGCGAUUCCAGCCUCUGCCGAUCUCACGCCUAAGCAAUGCUGCCCCUCACCUCUUGUGAUUCCACUCAAUCGCCAGCGUGAAGAGGCAACUAGGGGGUCUAAGGAUCUUGGAUUUUCCCUUCCUUGUUGUGAUAGAAGUCUCGGUUGAAGGAGGAAGAUUUUGGAUUAGUUCUUGCUGUUUUCCCCUAAUCAGAGCAUGGACUCCUUCCUUGCGGAGGAAAUUUAGGGUUACUGGUUGGAGGUAUGUGCCAUACCUAGCUGUGAAUUUGGGCUUGAUUCUUUGUUGUGGGUGUGGACUGCCGCCAGGGAUUCAUUGACAAAGAAGAAGAAAAGGGUUGAAUUGGAGAACUAGAUUUAGAGAUGAGCAACUUUCCCUUGCCCGACUACAAUUUUCGGCAGUGGGCUGAUACAAGAGCAAAUGGAUACAGGACAUUGAUUUGGGACGAGCACUUCGACGCAGAGGUUGUCUAGCUCAAUCUCCAUUUUUGAGGCGGG